UGGGGAAUAUUGCACAAUGGGGGAAACCCUGAUGCAGCGACGCCGCGUGAGCGAAGAAGGCUUUCGAGUCUUAAAGCUUUGUCCUAUGAGAAGAUAAUGACGGUAUCAUAGGAGGAAGCCCUGGCUAAAUACGUGCCAGCAGCCGCGGUAAUACGUAUGGGGCGAGCGUUGUCCGGAAUUAUUGGGCGUAAAGGGUACGUAGGCGGUUUUUUAAGUCAGGUGUCAACGCGUGGAGCUUAACUCCAUUAAGCACUUGAAACUGCAAGACUUUAGAGACAGAGAGGAUAGUGGAAUUCCUAGUGUAGCGGUGCAAUGCGUAGAUAUUAGGAGGAAUACCGGUGGCGAAGGCGACUUUCUGGACUUUUUCCGACGCUCAGGUACGCAAGCGUGGGGGGCAAACAGG
RNAcentral lists this ribosomal RNA (403 nucleotides) under Verrucomicrobiota bacterium. RNAcentral's name for it is "Verrucomicrobia bacterium partial 16S ribosomal RNA". It matches the Rfam family "Bacterial small subunit ribosomal RNA", at positions 355 to 776 of the family's 1533-position model. Lineage: Bacteria; Pseudomonadati; Verrucomicrobiota. The record is from RNAcentral.